GCCUGGGUGGCUCAGUCGGUUAAGCGUCUGACUUCAGCUCAGGUCACAAUCUCACAGUUUGUGAGUUCAAGCCCCGCAUCGGGCU
RNAcentral lists this transfer RNA (85 nucleotides) under Felis catus (domestic cat). It matches the Rfam family "tRNA". Rfam says of the family: Transfer RNA (tRNA) molecules are approximately 80 nucleotides in length. Their secondary structure includes four short double-helical elements and three loops (D, anti-codon, and T loops). Lineage: Eukaryota; Metazoa; Chordata; Mammalia; Carnivora; Felidae. The record is from Rfam by way of RNAcentral.